CACAUAAACACGGUAAUAAUCAGUGUAUCACUGUGGAGAAAAGCAUCUCCUGAGUGACACGUAGGGGUUAGCUGAGGGUGACGCUCGGAGACAGGGAUAAACGGACAGAGAGACGGACGGACGGAGAGCUGGAAAAGUGCAUCGCUUCCCUGUCAAGUGGCCCACAGAGUCGGUCUCUCUUUGUCUCCCCCUUUCACUCUCUCUCUCCUCUUUCUCUCUCCCUCCCUCCCCCUGUACACCAGUGGCCAUCCAAGAGGGAGAUCUGUUCUGCAGAUCCUGAAAUAAGUGGAAAACAAAGGCAUUUUGUGAAAGGGCGGGGGGGGGUUGUGGUUGGGGUCCACAGAGGCUGAUGAGGACCCCCAGGUACAUACACACACACAAAUGGUGCAACUGGACAGGCCAUGGAGUUUCCAGAACAACUGAAACUGUCUGACUGUCAGUUGCAACAUAGCUAGUGAGUUGUAGUGAUUUUUUUCUUCUUUCAUUAUGGCGCACACACACACACACACACACACACACACACACACACACACACACAGACCUAUAGGAGAUGAACAAAGCUUUUGGAAGGGGCUAUGGUCCACCCCAGGGCUCGAAGGACCUGAAAAACCUGCUUGCUCUGGGGUUGGGCCGCGAGCCGCCGGGCACACAGUCAUCGGCCAUGCCGCACCUCCUCGCGCUCUGCCUCACGGCGUCACAGGAGCGCCCCCUGCAGCCCUCUCGCUUCCUGUCUUCUCUCGCUUUUCUAUUUGACUACUGUCGGCCGUGUCCCCAGCCUUAACUCCUCCUCCUCCGGCGGACAAGGGGGCCAAGGGGCUGAGCUCACCUGGGACACUCGCUUUAUGGCCCUCAGACGCCUGUACAGGUGAAAAUGCAAAGUACAAGUGCCCAACUUGUGACCAACCUGACCACAGCAGCCCAGAACACCACCACCAAGUCCUAUGAGCAGAUUCUCAUUCAGAGCUCGGGAGCCAUGAUCGCUGUGAUCGUCAUCGGCAUCAUCAUCAUCCUUACGACGCUGCUGAUCAUUCUCAAGACCUACAACAGGAGGACGCAUGCAUCCCGCAUGCUCACGGGGGGCCCCAAACAUCGACAGAAGUCCUCCUCGACCGUUCAGACCAACGUGCCCCUGCACAGCGUGGGAGCAAACUCGAACUCUGUGUCCGGAAGUUUCGGCCAGCCCAACGGCAACGUGGGAAAUGGCUUCCGGUCGCCCCAGGUCGACCCGAUCGGCCAGGACCGGAACCGCGUGGAGCAGAACAGCACGACCAGCGGUUCCACUGUGGUCACUGUGCACGACACACCAUCUCUGGAGAACACAUAGCCGCCCUGCGGCACUGACUGACCUCCAGCGCUCGAGGCACGCUUGGGAAUGGAAAGGGCGGAGAAGGUACGCCAUCGGACCCCCGAGGGCUGGGCCACAGCAACCGGCAGACCCUAAAACACUCAAACGCUCCGUUUAAUGAAGGACAGGAUCACCACGAACCGGGGCUUCGGUCAGUUCCAGAAGCGCCAUCUCUGGCCCAGCUGUGAGGCGGCAAACUUGGAGACUUGUGUGGCGAAGGGCCAGAAAGAUCGCAGACCGAAGAGGUUACAGGUGUUCCUCGUAAUUUCUGUUCCGUCUCUUUACAUGUAUGUUUUCUUAAUACUAAUAAUAAUAAUAAUAAUAAUAACGGAUAAAUACAUAAAUAAAAUGAGUUGAUAGCGAACA
Scleropages formosus (Asian bonytongue) is the source of this 1711-nucleotide long non-coding RNA. The record is from Ensembl. Lineage: Eukaryota; Metazoa; Chordata; Actinopteri; Osteoglossiformes; Osteoglossidae.